GUACACGCUGUGACUAGCAUAUCAAUAAGCGGAGGAAAAGAAACUAACAAGGAUUCCCCUAGUAACGGCGAGUGAAGCGGGAAGAGCUCAAAUUUGAAAUCUUAAAGGGUUUCCCUUUACGAAUUGUAGUUUAAAGAAGUGUUUUCUGUUGAGGUUUUGGUAAAAGUUCUUUGGAAUAGGACAUCAUAGAGGGUGAGAAUCCCGUAUUUGACCUUUACUUUCAACUUUGUGAUACACUUUCAAAGAGUCGGAUUGUUUGGGAAUGCAGUCCAAAAUGGGUGGUAAAUUUCAUCUAAAGCUAAAUAUUGGCGAGAGACCGAUAGCGAACAAGUACCGUGAGGGAAAGAUGAAAAGAACUUUGAAAAGAGAGUUAAACAGUACGUGAAAUUGUCAAAAGGGAAGCGUUUGACACCAGUGUUGUUUUUCUGAAAAUCAAUUAAAGAACUGUUUAUGCUAAGCUGUUUAGACUAUAUCAGCUAUACUGUUUAGUUUUGAGCUUUUCUUUAAUGCACUUUUCAGUUAACAAGUCAACAUCAAUUUCUUUUGCUGUAAAAAAGCUUGAGGAAGGUGGCUUGAGAUUCGUCUUAAGUGUUUAUAGCCUCUUGCCUAUGCAGUCGGAGAGAUUGAGGUCUGCAGCGUAGAUCCUUCGGGGCUAAAUGCAUUUGUGCUAAGUUAUAGCAUUUUAUAGACAACUUGUUGACUAUGAUUUGUCUUGUAGCUUACUCGCUUAUGUUAUUUUACCUACGCUUAGGAUGUUGAAGAUGUAGCACAUCAU
RNAcentral lists this ribosomal RNA (775 nucleotides) under uncultured Neocallimastigales. Its description in RNAcentral is "partial large subunit ribosomal RNA". It matches the Rfam family "Eukaryotic large subunit ribosomal RNA", at positions 22 to 635 of the family's 3401-position model. The record is from RNAcentral. Lineage: Eukaryota; Fungi; Neocallimastigomycota; Neocallimastigomycetes; Neocallimastigales.